Magnolia sinica is the source of this 1477-nucleotide RNA transcript. It is a transcript of the gene named sulfiredoxin, chloroplastic/mitochondrial, with no coding region annotated. NCBI's taxonomy places the organism in Eukaryota, Viridiplantae, Streptophyta, Magnoliopsida, Magnoliales, Magnoliaceae. The transcript is spliced from 5 exons. The record is from RefSeq and is a predicted model, not a curated record.
CUCGCGCGAGCUGAAAGAGAGAGAGAGAGAGAGAGAGAGAGGGAUGGCGAGUGUAUCUUUGAAUCUUCAAUACACCUUCAAGGAAUUCAACUUCAAGAAAUUCUCACUGCGCGCCACUGCUUCUUCUUCUUCAAACGGUGUCCCUUUCAGCAACCCCAAAUCUGGGGGGCCCUUAGUUCUCGAAAUUCCGCUUGAUAAGAUACGGAGGCCACUUAUGCGUACGAGAGCUAAUGAUCCUGAGAAGGUGAAGGAGCUUAUGGAGAGCAUUCAAGAAAUUGGGCUUCAAGUACCGGUGGGUGUGGCUUUGGAUAUGUUUGAAUUUGAAUUUUGGGUUUCAAUCCAAUAUUUGUAUACAUUGCGAUUGAUGUUCUCGAGGUUGAUGGAGUUUACUAUGGUGUGUUCUCUUUCGUUCUCUUUCGAACUCUUCUGCCUUGAAUCAUUAGAACACUUCUAUUCAAGCAACUUAGUCCCCUACAAGUUAUUAGGUGGCAGGUUUCUCUGGUUGCCAUCGGUUUGAGGCUCAUCAGCGCCUUGGACUCCCAACCAUCCGUUGCAAGAUUCGACGUGGAACGAAGGAAACUCUCAGGCAUCACCUACGCUGAGUUCAAUGAGAGUGUUAUGCUUCUACCCUUUACGUGGGCCCCAUAGCUUUACAGUUCAAAUUCAUCCAAGGAAUAAUAAUAAUAUAGCCGAACUUCCUUUCUGGAGGGUGUAGAUCACUCUCCGUCUCAUCCCUAUGCGGUUUAGAACAUGUUGGGUAAGCUUUAUGGUAAAUCUGUGUAUUAUUCAUGAGAACUGAUGACAUACAUAAAGGUACUGGAACUUGUGGUACCAUAUCAUCUUUCCCGCAAACAUAUCACUUUUGCAGGACAGCAGUACCAUGAAAUGGUGGGCCCAACUGUGAAGAUUACCCUUCUCGAAAAUCAGGCUGAUCUGCUCACUAGGUGGGGGCACACCUGUAUUUUAGUCAGACCGUCGGUUGUCCAUUUAUUCCAAUGGCGUGGCCCACCUGAUGAGCAGAAUGGCCUGGUUUUUGACAAGGGUGAUCUUUGUUGUGGGACCUACUGUUUCCACGGUAAUGAUGCCCGCAAAAGUGUCAUGUUGGUAGAAAACAUGGCAGAGGAACCACAAGUUUUGUAUCUUGGAAGUGUGAUCACUUCUCAUUAUCUAUACUACAUAUACAUCUGUAUAUGCAUAUGGCCAUGUAUUGAUACUAUGGAAACUCAUUUGUGGAUGUAAAGCUUUAAGGAGGAAAGGAUCAUCCAGCUUGUAAUUUUAUGGUUUAGGGUGUGUUUGGUUGCACCAAAUUUCAUGAAAUAUUGUGAAAUUUUGAACCAAAUUAGAUGGAUUAAUAACAAAAUAUCAUGAUAUUUGGUGCAACCAAAUGCACCCAUAGGUUUUGGAGGAUGAAAGAACGGAAGAAGGUUGCCUUCUUUGCCUAAAUAAAUUGAGAUGCUUAGGGGUGUGUUUGGGUGCA